RNAcentral lists this non-coding RNA (182 nucleotides) under Triticum aestivum (bread wheat). RNAcentral describes it as "Bacterial large subunit ribosomal RNA". It matches the Rfam family "Bacterial large subunit ribosomal RNA", at positions 865 to 1028 of the family's 2925-position model. RNAcentral also lists the same sequence under 1 other name. The record is from Rfam by way of RNAcentral. Lineage: Eukaryota; Viridiplantae; Streptophyta; Magnoliopsida; Poales; Poaceae.
UGCGUUGAGGCGCAGCAGUUGACUGGACAUCUAGGGGUAAAGCACUGUUUCGGUGCGGGCUGCGCAAGCGGUACCAAAUCGAGGCGAACUUUGAAUACUAGAUAUGACCCAAGAAUAACAGGGAUCAAGGUCGGCCAGUGAGACGAUGGGGAUAAGCUUCAUCGUCGAGAGGGAAACAACCC